GGGGUAGUGGCAAGGUGGCCAGAGCAAUUGACUGGGAGCUGGGAAUAGGAAUGAAAAGGAAGAGCUGAUAAGAAACAUGCCCAGAGCAGAUUUGAUGCUACUGCCAACGUACCUGAAUAAGAAGACAACCCUUUCCGGAAAAAGGGAAAACUUGAAGGGCUAUUGAAGGCCGCUAGAAAGAUGGAGUUUCACUCUUGUCGCCCAGGCUGGAGUACAAUGGCAUGAUCUUGGCUCACUGCAACCUCUGCCUCCAGGGUUCAAGUGAUUCUCCUGCCUCAGCCUCCUGAGUAGGUGGGCUUAUAGGUGCCCGCCACGAUGCCUAGCUAAUUUUUGUUUCAUUAGUACAAAUAGGGUUUCACCAUGUCGGCCAGGCUUGUCUCGAAUUCCUGACCUCAGGUGAUCUGCCUGCCUCGGCCUCCCAAAGUGCUGGGAUUACAGGUGUGAACCACUGUGCCCGGUUUGAGUAACCUUUAAGUAAGAAAGUGCCUUUUGGGUUGAGUUUAACAAUUUCCAUGGUAGAGAAUCUCUUCUGCUAUAUGCUAUUUACUUAGCUUCUGCCUAGUAUAUGCAGCAGCAGAAAAUGGUUUCCCUUGUUGUAGGUCUAAUGAGAUUUAGAACACUUUGGGUCCUCAGAUAUAGUGAGCAAGAUUUUCACUUCAUAGAUGAAGGAACUGCAGCCUAAAGAAUUGGGAAGAAAAGGUUUAUCCAGGCUUGCUGUGCAUUCCUUCCCUUCUCUGGGAAUUCCCUUGGAGAAGAAAUCUGGCUGAUCAAAUCUCCUUGUAAACAUGCUGUGAAGACUCUGGGGAAAACCACUAAUGAUAUUUGUUAGUGGCAGUCUUUAUCUUUGAGAGACUUUUAGCAGCAUGAACCUUACCCCCGUAGUAGAAUUGUAUAUGGUAAACAAACCUGGAAUCUAAGGAUUCAUGGGUAAUGGCUUCUUGAAAAGUGUCAAGUAAGCUAUGUAACUACGGCAGGAGAUGGAGCUACUUCAGGGUUAAAAAAGCUGGCUUUCAUUUCGUGCAAGUAAUGUACUUGUGUACAUCUUUUGGAGAACCAUAUGUUAAAUCUGAAUCAGACCAAGUCCUAAUGUGAUAAGAAAAGGGCUGUGGAGUAGUAUUGGCAGUCCUGGGCUUUUCCCUAUGUUCCCUGUACCUUGUGAUUACUUAUAGCUUUGACAUUAUUAGUAAAGCUUGAUACUUGGUAAAAUA
This 1208-nucleotide small RNA is filed under the name Pan troglodytes (chimpanzee). RNAcentral's name for it is "processed transcript". The record is from RNAcentral. Lineage: Eukaryota; Metazoa; Chordata; Mammalia; Primates; Hominidae.